RNAcentral lists this ribosomal RNA (1460 nucleotides) under uncultured Bordetella sp. Its description in RNAcentral is "partial 16S-23S ribosomal RNA intergenic spacer". It matches the Rfam family "Bacterial small subunit ribosomal RNA". Lineage: Bacteria; Pseudomonadati; Pseudomonadota; Betaproteobacteria; Burkholderiales; Alcaligenaceae. The record is from RNAcentral.
AGUCGAACAGCAGCACGGACUUCGGUCUGGUGGCAGGUGGCAGACAGGUGAGUAAUGUAUCGGAACGUGCCCUAGCUAGCGGGGAUAACUACGCGAAAGCGUGGCUAAUACCACUAUGCGCCCUUCGAGAAAGCGGGGACCUUCGGGCCUCGCACUAACCAGAGCAGCCGAUAUCGGAUUGGCUAGUUGGGUGGGGAUAACGGCUCGCAAGGCGACGAUCGUAGCUGAAAGAUUUGAGAGGACGACCAACCACACAGGACUGAGACUGGCGAACUCUACGGAGGCAGCGAUUGAGAAUUUUGGACAAUGGGAAACCUGAUCAGCCAUCCCGCGUGUGCGAUGAAGGCCUUCCAGGUUGUAAAGCACUUUUGGCAGGAAAAAGAAACGGCGCGGGAUAAUGCCCCGUGCAACUGACGGUUGCCUGCAGAAUAAACACCGGCUAACUACGUGCCAGCAGCCCGCGGUAAUACAGCAGAAGGGUGCGAAAGCGUUGAUCAGAUUCUGUAGGCGUAAAGCGUGCGCGAACGGUUCGGAAAGAAAGAUGUGAAAUCCCAGGCAUAGCUUUGGAACUGUAUUCCCAACUACGAGCUAAGUAUGUCAGGAGGUGGGAUUUUGAUGUAGCAGUGAAAUGCGUAGAUAUGCGGAGGGGGAACGCCGAUGGCAGGAGGCAGCCUCCUGGAUAGCUGCUGGCGCUCGUAAAGCAGUGGGGAGCAAAACGGGAUUAGAUACCCGCGGUGGUCCACGCCCUAAACGCGAUGUCAACCUAACGUUGGGGCCUUCGGGCCUUGGUAGCGCAAUAACGCGUGAAGUUGACCUGUAGGAAAUACAAUCCACAAAUGUAAAAACUCAAAGGGAAUUGACGAGGACCCGCACAAGCAGUAGAUGAUGUGUAAAUUAAUUCGAUGCAACACUGAAAAACCCCACCACCCUUGACAUGUCUGGAAUCGAAGAUUUGGGAGGUGCUCGCAAAGAGAACAGGUUUCACAGGUGCACUGCAUGGCUAUUCGUCAGCUCAUUGAUAAGUGAGAUGUUGGAGUUAAAGAUCCCGCAACCCAGGCGCAACCCUUGUCAUUGGAUUGCUACUGAAAAAGGCCACUCUGUGCAGGACGCCGGUGAUAGACCGGAGGAAGGUGGGGACAACGUCAAGUCCUCGUAGGCCUUAUGGGUAGGGCUUCACAUCAUACAAUGGUCAGGACAGAGGGUCGCCAACCCGCGAGGGCCAAUCCCAGAAACCCGAUCGUAGUCGGAUCGCAGUCUACAGCUCGACUUCGUGAAGUCAAAUCCGCGCUGGUGUCCACCGGAUCGGCAAUAUCACGCCGGUGAACCGUUCCCGGGUCUUGUACACACCGCCCGUCACACCAUCAGGAUCGGGUUUGCUGCCAGAAGUGGUAGCCUAACCGUAAGGGCGGUCACCACGGCCAAGUUCAUGACUGAGGGGUGAGGAUAGGUAACAAGGCCAG